RNAcentral lists this ribosomal RNA (459 nucleotides) under uncultured bacterium. Its description in RNAcentral is "partial 16S ribosomal RNA". It matches the Rfam family "Bacterial small subunit ribosomal RNA", at positions 338 to 795 of the family's 1533-position model. The record is from RNAcentral.
CCUACGUGUGGCAGCAGUGAGGAAUAUUGGUCAAUGGGCGUAAGCCUGAACCAGCCAAGUCGCGUGAGGGAUGAAGGUUCUAUGGAUCGUAAACCUCUUUUAUAAGGGAAUAAAGUGUGGGACGUGUCCUAUUUUGUAUGUACCUUAUGAAUAAGGAUCGGCUAACUCCGUGCCAGCAGCCGCGGUAAUACGGAGGAUCCGAGCGUUAUCCGGAUUUAUUGGGUUUAAAGGGUGCGUAGGCGGCCUUUAAGUCAGGGGGUAAAGUAUGUGGGUCAACCAUAGUAGUGCCGUUGAAACUGGGGGGCUUGAGUGUGUAUGAGGCAGGCGGAAUGCGUGGUGUAGCGGUGAAAUGCUUAGAUAUCACGCAGAACCCCGAUUGCGAAGGCAGCCUGCCAGGCCAUGACUGACGCUGAUGCACGAAAGCGUGGGGAUCAAACAGGAUUAGAUACCCGUGUAGUC